GGGAAUUUUUGGACCAAGAUGGAGUUUGGCUUUACCCUUUAUUUUUAUAUUGUUCCUGAUACCAUAUAUAGCUAGCUUCCCAUUCCCAUGGUGGUUGAGCUAUCCAACUUUUCUUCGAACUACUCACCAUAAAUUCAAGAAUAGGAUUUCAGCUUUCUUGCAGUUAAUAUAUGACCUUUUCUACUGGUACAGCUUCCCCACUCUUGAGGUCUGAAUCCAUCUCUCUCUUCGUGUCUAUCUUACCAACCAACUGUGAACUGUUUUUAUGCGUGUAGGCCAUGUUUUGCUUUUAAUUUAGCAUUUCUUUUCUUUUGGAUGGGAUGUAGUUCAGCGUCUUGUUUAUAAAUUAGCGAUACCCGUUUUAUUUUUUCUCACAAGCAACCGAAACAAAGCACUCACAGAGGAGCUCUACACAAAUGGAUAAUAUAGACAUGGAUAAUGAGAGAUUGACGGCGGAGAUGGCUUUUAAAGACUCUUCCUCUGCUGUCAUAAGAAUCCGUCAACGCUUGCCUGACUUCUUACAGUCCGUCAAGCUCAAAUACGUUAAGUUAGGUUAUGGCUACUCAUGUAACCCUGCUACUAUACUCAUGUGUCUCGUAAUUUUCCCUUUGUCCAUAGCCACGCUCGUUCAAAUCACUGGUCUUCAACUAGACCUGGUUUACGAGUUAUGGACGACUCGGUCCCUUCAACUCCAUGAAAUCGACGCCGCCACCAGUCUAGCUGGUUCUGCUCUAUUAAUCGUCCUUCUUGCAGUCUACUGGUCUAAGCGGUCCAGACCUAUCUAUCUGGUGGAUUUUGCGUGUUACAAACCGGAAGACGGACGGAAGAUGUCGGUGGAGUCUUUCAUGAAAAUGACGGAAGAUAGCGGCUUGUUUGACGAAGAAACUGUUCAAUUCCAGAGACGGAUAUCGAUGCGGUCGGGUCUAGGUGACGAAACUUAUAUACCAAGAGGAAUAACUUCUAGACCACCUAAUUUGUGUAUGGAGGAAGCCCGGAUGGAGACGGAGUCGGUCAUGUUCGGAGCAAUGGACUCGCUUUUCAGCAAAACUGGAGUUAAAGCAGAAGAAAUUGGCAUCCUCAUUGUGAACUGCAGCUUGUUUAACCCAACUCCAUCUCUUUCCUCAAUGAUAGUGAAUCACUACAGGCUUAGAACAGAUAUCAAGAGUUAUAAUCUUGGUGGAAUGGGUUGCAGCGCAGGGCUUAUCUCUAUAGACCUCGCUAACGACCUCCUGAAAGCAAAUCCCAACACUUAUGCAGUUGUGGUGAGUACAGAAAACAUAACUCUGAAUUGGUAUUUUGGCAAGGACAGGUCAAUGCUGCUUCCCAACUGCAUAUUUCGCAUGGGUGGAGCUGCUGUUCUUCUCUCGAACAAGGGCCGAGACAGGGGCCGGUCCAAGUACCAGCUGGUCCACACCGUUCGAACCCACAAAGGCGCUGAUGACCAAAACUACCAAUGCGUUUACCAGAGAGAAGAUGACAAAGGAACUGUUGGGGUCUCAUUAGCCCGUGAAUUAAUGGCUGUAGCUGGAGACGCAUUGAAAACAAACAUUACUACAUUGGGUCCUCUGGUACUGCCUUUAAGCGAGCAAUUUAUGUUUUUCGUAACCCUUGUUAGAAGAAAGCUCUUGAAAGCGAAUGUGAAGCCUUAUAUACCGGAUUUCAAACUUGCUUUCGAACAUUUCUGUAUACAUGCUGGUGGGAGAGCAGUUCUGGACGAGUUGCAGAAGAAUUUGCAUCUCAGUGAUUGGCACAUGGAACCAUCAAGAAUGACUCUGCAUAGAUUCGGUAACACUUCCAGUAGCUCAUUGUGGUAUGAACUGGCAUAUACAGAAGCCAAAGGUCGGGUCUCGGGUGGGGACAGAGUGUGGCAGAUUGCUUUCGGGUCAGGUUUCAAGUGCAAUAGUGCGGUGUGGAAAGCGCUCAGGGCCAUUUCCCUGGGCGAAUCAAGGGGUAACCCAUGGAUUGAUUCCAUUCACAAGUAUCCUGUUAAGGUUCCAGUGGCUUAACUUUCUUCAGUUCAAUUAGAUGGCAAUAUAUGUGGGUCUUAAUUUGGUCUUAUUUUUUUCGGGAUCAUCCAGCCUUUGUAUUAAUACGCACUCCCCCCAAGUCGUCACAUGAUAAAAAAUAUGAUUAUGGCGAAGAUCAUGCUUAUGGUAUUUGUAAAUAUGAAGAACACAUUAAUGAGUAGUUAUUAUUACCUCAUUCUCCUCCUCCUCAUCAUCAUAUCAUCAUAAUAAGGUGAUAUCACAAAUCAAUUUUUAU
RNAcentral lists this unclassified non-coding RNA (2262 nucleotides) under Hevea brasiliensis (rubber tree). The record is from RNAcentral. Lineage: Eukaryota; Viridiplantae; Streptophyta; Magnoliopsida; Malpighiales; Euphorbiaceae.